GCCCCUUUAGCUCAGAUGGCCAGAGCGCCCGCCUCGUAAGCGGGAGGUUCGUGGGUUCGACUCCCGCAGGGGGCUCAA
Molecule: transfer RNA, 78 nt
Filed under: Mycobacteroides abscessus
Lineage: Bacteria; Bacillati; Actinomycetota; Actinomycetes; Mycobacteriales; Mycobacteriaceae
Also listed under: 1 other name
Description: tRNA-Thr
Rfam family: tRNA
About the family: Transfer RNA (tRNA) molecules are approximately 80 nucleotides in length. Their secondary structure includes four short double-helical elements and three loops (D, anti-codon, and T loops). Further hydrogen bonds mediate the characteristic L-shaped molecular structure. tRNAs have two regions of fundamental functional importance: the anti-codon, which is responsible for specific mRNA codon recognition, and the 3' end, to which the tRNAs corresponding amino acid is attached (by aminoacyl-tRNA synthetases). tRNAs cope with the degeneracy of the genetic code in two manners: having more than one tRNA (with a specific anti-codon) for a particular amino acid; and 'wobble' base-pairing, i.e. permitting non-standard base-pairing at the 3rd anti-codon position.
Source: RNAcentral